GGGGAGGUGGAAGUAGCGGGUCCAUAUGCUUUGGAGACCGCGAGGUGCCGCCCAGCAGCAGCUCUCGACCCUCCCAACGCCGGUCUGCCGGCCGCUGCCCUCCAUCCCCUCCAGCAGAACAAAACCCCAACACAUGCUCCUCGAUGCCCUCAAUGGCUGAAUCCCUUCCCGAUCCCUCGUGCUCCUCCCCCCACCCGAUAUCCCCCUCGCCGGCCUCUCGCCGGUGCUGAUUCUGCAGCUCAGAUAACCAGUUCCAGCGAGUAGAAGAAGAAGAAGAAGAAGAAGAAGAAGAGCAGAAGCGAGAAGAAGAAGAAGAAGAAGAGAGGAAGAUGAUUACCGGGACAGACUUCUACCAUGUGAUGACAGCGAUGGUGCCGCUGUACGUGGCGAUGAUCCUAGCCUACGGCAGCGUGAGGUGGUGGAAGAUCUUCACGCCGGACCAGUGCUCCGGGAUCAACCGGUUCGUG
RNAcentral lists this long non-coding RNA (467 nucleotides) under Spirodela polyrhiza (greater duckweed). RNAcentral's name for it is "long non-coding RNA (SPOL_LNC000879)". Lineage: Eukaryota; Viridiplantae; Streptophyta; Magnoliopsida; Alismatales; Araceae. The record is from RNAcentral.